CACCACACACCUCUCUGUCGUCUCUGACUGUCAGACGGAAUAAAACUCCUGUUUCUCCCGGAGCUGCUGCAGAGCGGCUGUUCCUGCUUUAGCCAGGCCGCUGUAGGACACCGUAGGGCGGGGAAGGAGCGAGGCGGGGAGCCGGUGUUGGAGCGGAUCCCUGGAGCUCUGGUAGCGUCUCCCCCCCCCCCCUCAUGCUGCAUGCUGCGGACCCACAGAUAGAUGUAAGGAAAAACACACCGGCUGCUUUCCUUGGUGCAUUAUAACAACACCGAGAGAAGCUGCAGGAGCCGAUUUAUUUCAGUUUGAGCUGCAGAAAGGAAGAAUGGGUCGCAGAGGAGGAAGAGGAGGAUUUCUCACCAUGUUUCUUUUCUUGUGUCUGAUAUGGACACAGCUGCUGCUGAUCGCAGAAUCGUCUUCUAGUGAUCAUGAGCUUCGUCUCUUCCCUUCUCGUCGCUCCGGUCGUCUUCCUCCACCUCUGCACCCCCAGCACGACUUGAACCCACAGCACGAUGUGGACACCGUGCUAGAGUCCCACCACCUCCACCUCCACCACCAUCAUCACCUUCAUCAGCACCCUGCCAGGUUAGCCAAAGGGAUGCCAGCCGCCCUCUUGGAGUCUCGGUUUCGUCAGGAGCCCGGCGGCCAUCGAACCCUCGACCUGCUGGCACGGCCACAUCACGAGGUGCAGCCGGAGCACGCUGUGGUGUCUGCACGCCAUCUGGUUACCGUGUACCUGGCUGUAGACGUGAGGAGGCUGAACGUCAGUCUUCUUCGGUGGUUUCGGGAAGGUGUAGCGGCGGCGCUGGGCGUUCCUGCAGGACACGUGCACAUCAACCGGCUGAAUGAGAAGAAGAAUGGCAUCGAGCUCUUCGUGUCCUCUGAUAGGCUGGGGAUCUCUGAGCCCCGCCCCGCUGAAGAGGUCAUCCAAUCACUGAACGUCAGGGUCCUUCACCACCACCUGGGACACUUCGGCAUCACAGAAGUCUCAACUGAGAAGAACGUCCUGCAGGGCGAGCAGAGGGAUCACGUGUGGACCAGAGAAGGCUUUUACGCCGUCGUCCUCUUCUUCACCAUCUUCAUCAUCGUCGUCACCUGCUUGAUGGUUUUGUACCGACUUAAGGAGAAGGUUCAGGUUUCUGACAGACAGCUGAAAGCUCCGCCCCCUGACCUCCACCUGUCCCCAGCUGUCCCUCCAGACUCCACCCAGAGGUCAAAGGGCACCAAGGUUGUGACGUCAGGAAGCAUGGUACAAGCUGAGCUCCCUCCAACUGUAGCCACGCCUAUUCCCCAGCAGCAGCCAAUCGUAGCCUGCCACCGCCUCGCUCCUCCUGUCGUCCCUCUGCCCAGCCACGCCCCCUUCCCCAUUGUAAGCAGCGACGACCACGCCCCCCUGGCCAGCGUUGGCCCGGUGACGGCCAAUAACGAGCUUAAGCCCUGCCCCUCCCCGUUCAGGAUGAAACCUGCUGCAGGACUGCAAGAAAGACGUGGCUCUAAUGUCUCUCUGGUGUUGGACAUGUCGGCUCUCGGCUCUGUGGAGCCCCUUAACGUUGCCGUGGUAACCCCCAGAGAGGCAGCCGCCAGGGAAUAUCUGUUGUACGCCGGCCGGCCAUUGACACGACAGCAGCUCCGUGACAUCGUCAACAACACGCACAAGCUGCACGCCGAGUUCGCUGAAAUUCCCAUGAAUUUCAUUGAUCCCAAAGAGCUGGAUAUUCCAAACCACGGACCCAAAAACAGAUACAAGACCAUACUGCCCAACCCUCAUUCCAGAGUCAUCCUGAAGUCGAAGAGCUGCAACGACCUGCUGAGCUCCUACAUCAAUGCCAACUACAUACGGGGUUACCUAGGCGACGAGAAGGCGUUCAUCGCCACUCAGGGUCCCAUGGUGAACACUGUGAACGACUUCUGGCAGAUGGCCUGGCAGGAGGAGUCACCGGUCAUCGUCAUGAUCACCAAACUGAAGGAGAAGAACGAGAAGUGUGUUCUGUAUUGGCCGGAAAAGAGGGGAAUCUAUGGGAAGGUUGAAGUGUUGGUCAACAGCGUCAGAGAGUGCGAACACUACACCACUCGCAGUCUCACACUUAAGUGUGGGAAUCUAACCCGCGUGCUGCAGCAUUACUGGUACACAUCAUGGCCUGACCACAAAACCCCCGACUCAGCGAUGCCGCUGCUGCAGCUCAUGGGCGACGUUGAAACCGACAGACGGGCGGCUGCCGCCAUGGGGCCAGUUAUCGUCCACUGCAGCGCCGGGAUUGGCCGGACAGGCUGCUUCAUCGCCACGACGAUAGGCUGUCGACAGCUGCAGCUGGAGGGAGUGGUGGAUGUUCUGAGCAUCACCUGCCGGCUCAGAGCCGACAGAGGAGGUAUGAUCCAGACAGGUGAGCAGUACGAGUUCGUCCAUCACGCAUUGAGCCUGUACGAGGCCCGCCUAUCUGCAGAAACCGGCCAAUGAGUGCGCACCACCACAGGAUGUGUUGGCUUAAACCUGGAAGUGUGCUAACAUAGCGAGUCCUUAGCAGUUGGUGAGUGGUUCUUCAGAGGAACUCGAAAGACCCGCCCACUUCACUUCUCCAACUGACUGUCGGAUCGUGUCAUUUUUAACUAACCGGACUGUCCUAUUACCUCUUUGGUUGUCAUGGAGACGUAGAAAUAGUUUGACUGAAGUUGAUGGUACAUUGUUCAGUAACACUGUUGUGUUUCUGUCUUUAUAGGAUUUUAAAAUUAUUUUGUAACGUGGUGUUCUUAUAAAAAAAAAGAAGCUAUUGGAAAAUGACUGUUAGCUGGUUGCACCUUUGGUUAAGCUACUAUACCACUGUUGAAGCAACCCUUCCAGCCUAGCUCCCUUUGUGACAUCCGCACUCUGUACGUUACUCCGUGAUUCGGCCACGUUGCAUUCCCUACCCGAACCUUUGGGGAAAAGUCAAAACGUUAAUUUUUUAUCUGUUAUCCAGAGGCGGGUUGUAUCUUCAAAGGUAUUUUCAUGAUCUCACAGAUGUCUUAACUACUAGAAUUUCAUUUUAAACUUCAUGUCAGUAAACUUUCAGCUCAAGUAACCUGAAAUGUUAGCUUGCUAACUAGCCAUCAGAAUCAUUUAGCAAACACAUUCCUUUUUUAUGUUUUUAUAUGCUAACGCUACUUUCUGUUUAACCAGACAGUGUUGAGUAGGUAAACCAAUACCAUGGUUAGCCAGCUAACAAACUGACAUUGUGUUAACACCCAUUUCACUUGUAAUCAAGAGUAAUCGAGUACAACUUUUUGAUCUGAAUGAUUUAUUGUUUGCCCAGAGCAAAACCAACUUUAUAAUCUUUAUUUUCACAGACUGCGCCACUCCGCUCAUUUUCACUGGGCGCACGUUUUGUCCGUAGCUCGGUAACUUACGGAGUGCAGAAGUCACAAAUGGGGCUACCUCCAGCCAUAGAUCACAUGCUAAAAGCUAACAAACCAAUGUUAUGAUAAAUAAGCUCCUGCUAAGCUAAUUCUUGUAGUACAGCAAUCUCAUAGAGGCUAAUUCUAGCUAGAUUUCAGUGUUAAUCCGUAUGCUUUAAUGUCAAUAAAUGGAUGCUAACCUAUAAGCUCAUGCUAUUAUUAGCCCGCUAUGCUAAUGCAAUAUUUUGUUAAACCAAUUAAAUUUAGUAUUCCACUGCUAAACCGUGCUCGUAAAGUAAUAACAAUUUGUUUGUUACAACAGUUAUUUUUAUACUUUUUAACAGCUCCCAUGAAGCUUUUACAGCAGUACUAAGAAUUAUGGGAGCUGUAGUUUACAAAUGCUCACAAAGUAAUUGUUCUUUUAUCUUUUGUUAAACGACCAGUGUGUAAGAUAUAGUGGCAUCUAGUGGUGAGGUUGCAGAUUGCAACCAAUUUAAUGCCCCUCGCCUCACCCUCCCCUUCCAAGCGUGUAGGAGAAACUAUGGUAGCUGCGAAAAACGUGAAUGGCCCUAUCUAGAGCCAGUGUUUGGUUUGUCUGUUCUGGGCUACUGUAGAAACAUGGCGGUCUCCGUGGAAGAGGACCCGCUCCCUAUGUAGAUAAAAACGGCUUAUUCUAUGGUAACAAAAACGCAACAAUUAUUAUUUCCAGUAUUCCCUAAUCUCAGAGGUACACUAAUGAAAACAUACUUGUGAAUAUUUUAUUCCAUUUCUGCCAAUAAAUCCCUCUAAAUGUUACACACUGGUCCUUUUUUAAAACGAUGGUAGUAAUAGAGAUCCAAUUAUCUUAGAAUAUGGACACAACGCCCCCACCAUCAUGUCAAAACUUUUAGAAAGAUGAAAUUUAUAAAACAUAAAGAUUUCAGCGCGUUCAGUCAUAAUUUAUACAUUUGAUCCAUACUUAAAAUUAAUACUGUUGAAAUAUCUUGACAUUUUAGUCAAAGUUUAGUUUUUCAGCACAGGGCCAAAUAGACUUAUUCCUGACGCGACAGAUAUUUAGAACAUUUUGUGCUGCUUGUUCUCAGAGUUUACACUCGAUAUAGUAGUUAACCUUCUUUCUUGCUUUGACAAAUCCCCUGUUGUGUAAUAUGUUGCUUUAUACCAAAAAUGUGAAAUAAUUUAUGUUACAAUGGUGCAGUCAUCUCAUCGAUGUGCUGUUGUAAAUUAUGUUAUCUAGUGAGUACGUUAUUUUGGUGUAUCAAAGUAAUAAUAACUUUAUUUUUAUACUGUUUUUACAUGUUUUUGAUGUGUUUAGCAAUUAUCAGCCCUUUGUCAACUCGCAUGAAAGCUCGCUAUUUGGGUACAAACCUCAUCAUCUCUAAAUCAUCAACUUAACUCCUAGCUUAACAGGAGCUGGACGGAAUUAACAAUUAAUCUUUUCGUUUUUUAUCUGAGUCAGAAAAUUUGAAGUUUGAACAAGCUCAGUAAUUUUGAAACAUUAGAAGGAGGAACAUUAGAACUUGAGAGCUGAACAUGUUUAUAAAUAAAACGUAUUGACUUUGUGUUUCUUCAGAGAAGUUUUCUGAUUACUUUACAUUGACACUGCAUUGAAAAAUGUCAAAAUAGUAACAAGAAAAAAAAAAACACUCAGCCAAAACCAUUUGAGUGCCAGUCCACUGGAGAAAACAUGUCAAGAAAAGGGUGAAAUUCAGUUUUUAUACGCCCAGUAUAACUACAUAUUUUAGACUAAAAUGUGAAACAAAAAUGAAAAUACUGAGGUGGUUUUGUCAAUUCCUGGGGUGUUGAUUUGUUUUAGAGAUCUGAGGUUUCUACAGUAAUGCCAGUAACGAAGAACAUUAACAUAUACAUCUAAUCUGCUCUCUGUGUGAAUGGGAUAACAUUGUGCGGUACAUGUUAAAGUGCUAUUAAACCUAAUGUGGGCAGUUACAUUUCAAUCCAUGGACCACAAACACGGAGAUGUUGCUGCUAAAACUGGGAGCGUUGGGAGUGGACCGUUGACGGACAAUAAACGAGAGAAAUUUUGAAGACUCUUCUUUUUCUAUAUACCAAAUUAUUUUUUCUUUUAUUCUUUUACUUGUGAUACAAUCAGGGGACUUUGGACUCUGCAGCUCUUUGUGUACAUGUCCAACAUGCCUCGUGGGACCAUCAUCAACCCAAUUUUCACUUCAGCCAAUUCAGGAGUUGGAUUGAUUUCAAACUCAAAAUGGUUAAAAACCUCCCAUAUUACAGUGUGAUAGUGAUGUAAUUCCUGUUUGAACUGACUGAAGUGAAAGUGAAUUGAGCCCAGCCUCCAUACCCACUGCAGCAGCGGGUACAACAACACACACUGCCUCUGACGUAGUAUUGUGUAUGUACAGUAGGUGGUGGUUCAUGUCCUGUACUUUGUUGAUGUUGACUGUUGAUGGCGCUUAAAGGGACGCUAGACAUUUUAAAUUUUAGACCGUUGUCAUGCAGUUGUCACAUUGCAGAGAACAAAAUAUUCUAUAUUCACAUUAAUUGAAUUGGAUUCAAUUCUGCUAUUGGUUACCAAUGUAGGAAUUUAACUUUGUGUGUAAGGCUUUACUUUACAGGUCCCAUAGUUUCCACUAAUUUUCCAGAGAGAAAUAAUAUGUAACCGUGUAUUCAUAGGAAGUUUCCUGGAAAGGACUCUGCAAUGUGGAACUAAAAAUAAGGAAAUGGACACAGAGUUUGAUUGGUACACAUGUAAUUAAUACAUUCCGAUCAAUUGUUAGCAUAACCUGGAGACUUUUAGUCAGUGCACAGCAGGUCAGCUGAACAUGCAAAAAUGUGGAAUUCGUCAUCAGGCAAGCAUACAAUUCACCAUAUAUGGAGAAAAAAGUUGCCGAUAAUAAAUGAAUACUUAAAUUUAGUUUGGGUUUAUUGGAGCAGUUCAUUAAAGAAAGGUCCUCUGGACAUUAACAAAUGUUCAUAAACACAACUAAAUAAACUCAACAACUGUUCUUAGUUUGUCUCUAUUUUCCCUGUAAUUAGUACCACAUAACAAAGUUCUUUCCAGGAAACUUACUACAAAUUGUUAUAAAAUUAAGGAUCCAUAAAAAAAAAAAAGCUUUUUAGUGUUGAACCCAAUCGAAGUUGUUCACAGGCACUAAACAAGUUCCCAAGAGUUAUCUUAAGAACAGUCUGUUCUCACUUCAAUCAUUGCCACCUGGAUCAAAACCUUCUGUCACAGUUUUUGACACAUUUGGGGAACUGAAAAAGCUGUUUACCAAACAUGAUACCCGUACCAUAACAGCAGAGCCAUUAAUAAUAUUAGCUAGUGAAAUAACCAAUGUAAGAUCAUGUAAAAGAUAGUUCUUUUGGUAAGUCUAGCAAGUGAGAGAAAAAAAUUAAGCUCAUGUAAAGAUUUGUUGUUCUGCUAACAUUAACUAGUAAAAGAACCAUUUUUAGCUAAUGUAAAAGUUCUUUUGCUAACAUUAGCUAAUGAAAUGACCAGUUUUGGCUAAUGUAAAAGUUUAUUCCUUUGCUGUGUUAGCUAGUGAAAGCACCAGUUUCAGCUCAUGUAAAAGUUCUAGUGCAGUCAAGAGUUUCAAAGCUAUUUUAAAUUAAUGCUCCACAAGACAUUUUUCUGCUGCUAAUUAGCUACUGAGAUAGCCAGCUGAUUUUAGCUAGCUUGCUAAUGUUAGUUGUUUGUUUAGAAGAAGAUAUUGUGGCAUAUUAAUUAAAGAGCUUUUAAUGUUUGUUUCUUCUGCCUUUAAUGAUGACUAAAUAAGAAACAGUUUUAUUAUAAUUUACCAUUUCUGCUGUACAGUAAGUUGUGCAUGUGCAGUAGACGUAAUGCAUCGAUAAAUGCGACAGAAGGUCCUGGUCUGGAAGGGAGGGAUGAUGGGUAGUGUCGGAGUCCAUUAUUACUUACGUAUUCAAAUUACUAGAACUUUAUUUCAAAUGUUUCAAAGAUACCAAAUAUUGCAGUAAGCUUUUAACUUAAUAAAUAUAACAAUUAGGUCACUGACUAACCAGCAGAUUAAUUUAGCAAGAACAUUCAUGUUAAUGCUAACAUGCUAACAAUAGUUUCAGAAAAUUCUACGGUUUGCCAGCUAACAAACUGACUUCAUCUAAACACCCAUUUUAGUUCUAAUCAAGAAUAAUCAGUAGUGAUGAGUUUCAGCACGACAACAAAAUGAUAAUUUUACGACCAUGUUGAGUUAUAACUGUUGUGAAAAAUUAAAACUACCAUAAUAAAAAAUGUUAGCGUCCCUUUAAACUUCUGCUGCGUGGGCAUUACAGCUCAGUCAGAGGACACCUGAUGCUAAUUAGUGUACGUGGUUUUUAACUGUAUUACUAAUCAACUUGAUUGUUGUUAAUAGUCCGGAAACAUUAGCCACUGAGUAGUGCUGUAACCUCUUUUAUCUACUCUAUAUACAUAUAUAUUGUUACCUGUAAUCUGUACAUAAACACUGGAUAAACAAUU
RNA transcript from Siniperca chuatsi (mandarin fish), 7816 nucleotides. It is a transcript of the gene named protein tyrosine phosphatase receptor type R, with no coding region annotated. NCBI's taxonomy places the organism in Eukaryota, Metazoa, Chordata, Actinopteri, Centrarchiformes, Sinipercidae. The transcript has 17 exons. The record is from RefSeq and is a predicted model, not a curated record.